UCGAUAAACCUCACGAUGACGC
This 22-nucleotide non-coding RNA is filed under the name Arabidopsis thaliana (thale cress). Lineage: Eukaryota; Viridiplantae; Streptophyta; Magnoliopsida; Brassicales; Brassicaceae. The record is from RNAcentral.